Molecule: ribosomal RNA, 253 nt
Filed under: uncultured bacterium
Lineage: Bacteria
Description: partial 16S ribosomal RNA
Rfam family: Bacterial small subunit ribosomal RNA
Source: RNAcentral
UACGGGGGGUGCAAGCGUUGUUCGGAAUUAUUGGGCGUAAAGAGCGUGUAGGCGGCUUGAUAAGUCAGAUGUGAAAGCCCUGGGCUUAACCCAGGAAGUGCAUUUGAAACUGUCUCGCUAGAGUAAGGGAGGGGGAAGUGGAAUUCCUGGUGUAGAGGUGGAAUUCGUAGAUAUCAGGAGGAACACCGGUGGCGAAGGCGACUUCCUGGCCCUAUACUGACGCUGAGACGCGAGAGCGUGGGUAGCAAACAGG